UUUCCACAUGAAAGAAUUCUCGCAAGGAUACCUUAUUAAGGAUUCAUGGGGCGGGCCCAGCUAGCUUUAGCCACAGUUUCCAUGAAACCUCCAAACCUCGCAAAUUUCUCUACCCUUCAGUUUAAUACAUCUUGCCAUGGCAUUAAUUCCCAAACCAUCUCAGUCAACCCAUGCCACCCAACCUAGAAAUUCUAGCUCCGCCCAUGUAUGAUUAUUAUAUAUAAAAACACACACACACACCUAUGUUCUCAUCGAAUGUGCUUUGUAUUAUUACAGGAACAAUGGCUUCUAAGAAAUUUUUAUGUUUUUGGAACGCUUUCUUGAUUGUCAUACUUCUUUUGUCUUCUGCAAUGGGAUCAAGGGAUCUGUCAGAGAUUGCCAGGCCUCUUAUGAUUUUUGAGAAGGCUGGAGGAAUUCAAAGCGGUCCUCCACGGGACGGCCAUUACAAAGUUGGUCCCUCCACCGGUCCAACGGCUAAUUAGCUGAAUUUCAUGACAUCUUUUAUUGAGGACAAAAUAACGCAAAUAUUUAAUAGUUUAAUAUUGUGAUAUAUGCAUCUACAGUCAAUAAAUUUCUGUACGCAUUAUUAAGCGUACCUUGCAAUCCUGGUUUUUGCCUUGCAUUAUAUAUGGUGAAGCGUUGAGGUUGAUAUCAAAAGUUCCUGCUGCUGAAAGUUAGUGUUACGUUUAGUUGUACCUUUGAUUAAUUUGUAGAGCUUUACAUCUUCUUGUAGCUGGCAAGAGAGAAAUAAAGGAGACGAAGAUAGUAUAGUAUCUUUUAUUUUAUU
Long non-coding RNA from Populus euphratica (Euphrates poplar), 787 nucleotides. RefSeq lists it as uncharacterized. The transcript has 2 exons. Lineage: Eukaryota; Viridiplantae; Streptophyta; Magnoliopsida; Malpighiales; Salicaceae. The record is from RefSeq and is a predicted model, not a curated record.